CUCACUGGCCCCGGGCCGCGGUUCCGCGGGUGGCCGCUGUACGCUUGAGACACCUGGUCCGCAGAAGUCAGGUGCCCUGGCAGGAGGGACUGGCUUAUGCCACCCUGUGCAGGAUCGUCUUCUCAGCUUACAGAGCCUAGUGUGAUUCAACAACCCUCCAUCUCUGCCCCCAACAUGCCCAACUGAUCUGGUGGAGGGAACUGAAGAUGAAGGCCUCUCAGGCACCAUGGAUGGGAUGGGUGUGUGUGAAGGGGGCAGGGUCCCCAGGAGCUGCCCCAGGUCUGGCUGGACAGUUGCACGGGAAGUCCUGU
Molecule: long non-coding RNA, 311 nt
Filed under: Homo sapiens (human)
Lineage: Eukaryota; Metazoa; Chordata; Mammalia; Primates; Hominidae
Description: HSALNT0243484
Source: RNAcentral